UCCCUGGUGGUCUAGCGGCUAAGGAUCCUGCACUCUCACUGCCGAGGCCUGGGUCCGAUUCCCGGGCAGGGAA
RNAcentral lists this transfer RNA (73 nucleotides) under Pangasianodon hypophthalmus (striped catfish). It matches the Rfam family "tRNA". Rfam says of the family: Transfer RNA (tRNA) molecules are approximately 80 nucleotides in length. The record is from Rfam by way of RNAcentral. Lineage: Eukaryota; Metazoa; Chordata; Actinopteri; Siluriformes; Pangasiidae.